This is a non-coding RNA of Peromyscus maniculatus bairdii (prairie deer mouse), 571 nucleotides long. Lineage: Eukaryota; Metazoa; Chordata; Mammalia; Rodentia; Cricetidae. The record is from RefSeq and is a predicted model, not a curated record.
GGUGACAUCUUCCUCUUGUGACAGUCUGAGUCAUGAGUCAAGAGGCACCUGUUAUGUUCUUGGUCACUUAUGGUGGCACAAGCCUGAAGCCCCAAGCUGGGGCAGGAGGAUUAUUAAGUCUUAGGCCAACAUGGAUUACAUCUCCAAAAACCAAGUGAAAGACUCUUUUUUAAAUUAAUAAAAUGGUCUAUUUUAGACAAAAGCAUGUUAAGGGAGGUUCCCCAGCUAGACAGGACAAUGUCAAAGAAAACCAACUCCAAGCCCUUUACCACCCUUCAGAGAAAGAGAACCCUUCACAAGAAGAAACAGGUGGAAGAGAACAUGAUUCUGCUGGAGAAGGAUGAGAAGGAAUUGGCAGUCAUGGCUGUGAGGAGAGGCUACAGGAUGGGUGCCGGAGAUGCAGCACCAGCUGCUGCUGCAGCAGAAAGACCAGGAGCAGAAUGCCAUCCUGGAUGCCCAGGGAUUUGAAGCCUAUGGGUCGCAAACUGAGUAUUCCCAAUCUGUAAGUGCUUGUAUGUAUGAAUAUCUGACAAUUUUCUCUCAAGUUUUAUAAAAAUCUAGUGAAAUUAUA